Non-coding RNA from Cinara cedri, 413 nucleotides. NCBI's taxonomy places the organism in Eukaryota, Metazoa, Arthropoda, Insecta, Hemiptera, Aphididae. The record is from the annotation of a GenBank genome assembly.
CCCUAAUAACAAAAAAAAAAUAACGCUCUUUCUGUCCACGACCGAGUAAAAAAAAAAAAAAAAAAAAAAAACCCGCACGCAGUACUUGUAUAAUAGUAUCGAAUGCAGUUGGUGUUAUUGACGAUAUAUUCUAUUCUAUGGAUUAGAAUCCCGUUUGCAGUAUAUUAUAAAUUGUGUCCGUUUUUUUAAUCCGUCGUACACCCACGACAUCGUUGCGGCCACACGCACGUCUCGUAUUCUAUUAAAAAAAAAAAAAAAAAAACAGCUCACACUGCUGAUGGGUGUGCCACUGUUGAAGGUGAGAAGUCGAGAAUGUUGAAUACAUAAAGUUAUUUAAUUUAUAUCCAUACGCAACAGCGAAUCGUUAUAACUGGUGAAAUACGCGCUUCUGCGCGAAGUUUUGGUUAAACGCG